RNAcentral lists this long non-coding RNA (214 nucleotides) under Ananas comosus (pineapple). RNAcentral's name for it is "long non-coding RNA (ACOM_LNC023532)". The record is from RNAcentral. Lineage: Eukaryota; Viridiplantae; Streptophyta; Magnoliopsida; Poales; Bromeliaceae.
GUUUCUUUUAAUAAGUGACUUAGAAAGUAAUUAUGGUUCAGUAUUUCAUAUUAAUUGAAUAAUUGGGAUUUCGUAAAUGUAAUAAAAGAUUUAUGGAUUCUUGCGAAAUGAAAAUAGUUUUUUAUCCCUCGUGGUAGUGUGUUUUGAAAAGAAAAAUAUUUUUGUGUGGGAAACGGUUUUAAAAAGAAUUUCCUGGUGUUGGUAGCCGAAUUUU